UUUUGACCAACUCGGGGAGACAGUCAGUCCGACUGCCUUUUCUGCUGAAGGUCGGCCGUCGGGUUGGUGUGUCAGAGCCUUAACGCUGAAAAUUAGUUCAAUUGAAUUCAAAUGUGAGGCCUUUCUCUCUCGUCUAACCCUCCUUCUCUUUUCUAGCUGUAUUUCUUGACAUACGCUGAACGGCCGUACAGCGGCAAGCUGGAUCCAACCUCGACUAUUAAAAAUGACUUUGAUGCAGGUAGUGUUUGAAUGCUUGUUGUUUUAAAUUACCUUGAUUUAACUGGAAAGUUGCAUUAAAAAUAAUCAGCACUGUUAUGGUGGCACUAAAAAGCAGUUUUAAUAGUAGUCAGCUCCUUUCCUCAGAGGCAUAAAUGGGGUAACUUUCAUUAAACAUUGAUGUGACCUACUAAGAGGCUCAUGGCUACCAAACCAAUCAUAUGUUCAAUCACUGUUUAAUAUUCAACUCAGCUCAAGAUGGGAAAACCCUGAGUGCAAAAGCCUGUUGUGGGCCAAACAAAUCACAUUUCUUUACUGCUGUCCAUGUAUAUAAUGUUUUAUUAUCAAGGGGCUUACUUGGGGGUUUUUAGUUCUUAAACUUUCAAUAAAAUUCUGCUCCAUUUCCCCAGUAAACGCCAUGUUGGUGAGUAAAAUGGACAGAUAAACCUGGUACUGUUUGCUGAAGGAUUCAAAAACACUUAACAGCUGUUGUGUCCAUAGAAAUAUGCAACCAGGCGGCCCUCGUGAAGCUGUUAAACUCUGAUCAGGUUCAGGUGAGGUGAGGGGAUCAUCCUAUAAACAGACUUCUGAACAUUUGUGCCAUUAACCUACUUUUUUAAAUUUAUCUUACCCACUGCUGCCAGUUCUCACUGUCAUAUUGUACAUACUGUAGCUCUUUAGGGUUGGUUUUGUAUCAUGUAAGCCACUUACAAAUGGCAGGUAUUUAUGUUGGGUGUCACCCAUUUCACAGUGGUUUAGUUUAUGACGUAGUCCAUGCAGCAAUAGUAGAUUUAAAGCUAUAGAUUGUUGCCAAAAAAUACUAUGAAACCAGUUAUCAGAAUAUGAGCCAUGCAGCAAUAAGAAAUGGCCCAUUCCCUCUAAAACCAUGAAAUUAUUAUCUGGUGAUAAGGAAUCCCGACGGUUAAUUUAAUCAAUAAUGUGGAUGAUUCUGAAACCACAAUAAAAUUGGAGUUUGUGUUGUGAUUUGAGAUGAAAAAUGUGGUUAAAGAUGUAAAUAGUAUCUUAAACAAAUGACUUUGACUAUCAUGUAAUUCUUUUUUUUUGUAUAGUAAUUUGUUUUUCUUUAAAUGCACCUCCAUGUUGAGGUUUUUACACUCGCACACCUGCACCCAAAAAUAUGCUACUGUAAAUGGGGCUUAAGGAAUGUUUUAUUUUUUUAUUAUUGGACUUUUUUCUGAAAAAGACAAUUUAAAAUUGGGCUUGACAUGAAGUAUAUAUUUCCGAGAACAUCUUAUCAGUGCUUUCCUCUUUAGGAGUUGGAAAUCCCCUGUUUGUUGUAACGCACUGAAACGCCUGUAAGUUACUGGGACAAUGUGGAAGUUGAUGGGCUCAUGACAAGUAUGAGUAAUGCCAAUGUCUGAUUGGAUUUCCUGUGCCAUAUUAAAGAAGUGUCCUGUUUUUCUUUUUUACAUGUUUUUUUUUAUGAAUCUAUGCAGCUUCAGUCUGGCAUUCCUGCAACUUCAUGGCCAUUUUGUUCUAAAGUCAAAAACAAUGAUCAUAAACAGAAGGUGUGAGCAUUUUGUAAGGACUUUUUUUGUUUGUUUCUUAUGUUACAGGAUUGAAAUGGGUAUCGUGCCACUUUAUGUUGAUCUUUAAAUGUGCAAUAAAUUAUAUUUCAAAUGUGUUUUGAUAA
Long non-coding RNA from Sander lucioperca (pikeperch), 1870 nucleotides. RefSeq lists it as uncharacterized. NCBI's taxonomy places the organism in Eukaryota, Metazoa, Chordata, Actinopteri, Perciformes, Percidae. The transcript is spliced from 2 exons. The record is from RefSeq and is a predicted model, not a curated record.